UACUGUGAAGGGGGCCAAAACCAAACUGGAACUUUUCAUAUAGAUUAUUAUGAGAUAAGUGGGAGUGAAGUUGGAUUGCUGCUAUUUUAUCAAACAAUAUUGGAGAUAAAGGGCAAAUUAGAAAUAGGGCGAAAAUUAUUGAAGUUAGUAGGAUCAGCACCAGGUUUUUUCAAUAUUGGGGUUAUUGCAGCAGUUUUAAAAGAUGAAGGAACAGAACCAGUAGUGAGAGAAGAGUGAAUUAUGGCAGAAAUGAGAGGGACCAAAGAGGGGAGGCAGGCUUUAACCAGAACUGUAGGGAGGGGGUCCAGCUGACAAGUAGAUGACUUGGAUUUACAGAUGAGAUCUGAGUUUUCUGAGGAAGUGGGAAGCUGGAAAGAAGAAAAAGAGUGAAUAGGUGAGUGUAGUUCAAAAGAAACAGAGAGAGAAUCUGGACCGAGGUGCUGAUGUAUGCUCUGGAUUUUCUCAUUAAAAAAGACAUAAGAGAAUUACAGAAAGCAGUCGAAUAAAGGUGAGAUGGUAAAGAGUCUGGAGGUUGUGUAACAUUAUUAAGUAAUGAAAACAAAGACUUGUUGUUACCUUUAUUACAAGAAAUUAACUGAGUGUAAUAGUUAGAUUUGGUUUGUGCUAUACAGUCCUUGUAAUAAAGUAAAUGAGUUUUAUGCAUCUCUUUGUGGACAAAGAGUCCGUUUUUUUUAUAUAACCGUUAAAAUUGCCAGCCCUUUGCUUUCAGAAGCCGAAGUUCAGGCGUAAACCAGGGGGCAGAAAAAGAAAAAGAAACAGAUCUGGAUUUAGCGGAGCAAGAGAAUUAAGAAUGCCAUUGAGACCAGUGUUAUAAUAUGAGACCAAUUCUUCAGGAGUGGAUAAAUUAUAAAAGUCCAUUUGGGAAUCAAUUCUAGAAGACAGAGAAUUUAAACUAAUAUUCUUAAUGUUAUGAAAAGAUAUGAGACGGGGGAGCUUAGUAAUAGAAAAAGUAAGUUUAGCAUUAAAUGAAAGGAGAAAAUGAUCAGUUAUAGUGAGUUCAUCUGCUGUAAGAUUGAGAGGGACAACACCAGAGCAGCAGAUCAGGUCCAAGAUAUGUCCUUUACAAUGGGUGUGAACAUCAGUGUGCCGCUGGUAUCCAAAACUCUCCAGGCACGAUAAAAAGUCUCUAGUGAGAGGGAUAUUGAUAUUGUCCAGAUGUAUAUUAAAAUCCCCCAACAGAACUAUAUUUGAAGUAAUUGUAGAUAAAUGGGUAAGAAAGGUAGCAAGAUCGUUCAAAAAAUCAUUGUUUGAUUUGGGAGGGGUGGUAGAUAGUUGCAAUGAUGUUAAGAAUAGGCCCAGACAAUUAACACACAGUUGAUUCAAAAGAGCUAACAGCAGUAGCAGGUAAUGGCAGGACUUUCCAUUUCUCGCGAUAAAUUAUCGCAACACCUCCUACACGUCCAGAGGCACGGGGUUGACAAAUGUAAACAGACAACAGUGGGGUGGAUUCAUGAAGUUGAGAAAAGUCUUGAGGUUGCUGCCAAGUCUCGGUUAAACAGAGAAAGUCAAACUUACAGUCAAUGAGGAGAUCCUGAAUAAGAUGCCCCUUGCUCAUGAGUGAGCGGAUGUUCAGUAGAACGAAACUGACAAUGUUGCUGUCACUUUGACAGUGGUGGUAGCCGACUGAGCUAGGCUAACCAACACGCUGUGGUCAGCAUUCCUAUCCGUGUUGUGUGGAGGGUGCCAAGAGUUGGACCAGAAGGAGUUAACUCCUUUUGAGGCGUCUAUUCGGAAUCUCCAGCGGGACCCACGAUGGAUGUAUCUCCGACGAGGGAGAAAUAUGAUGUCCGGGUUGAAAUGCAGCACAGAGAGCAGAGGCACAAACUGGUGGAGACGCAGUCGAAGAAGCUCAGCAGCUGAGUACUGGAGGAGGCCUGUCGCAGUUUGGAUAGCGAGCAACAGAAGACACCAAACAAACAUUAACCAGGUGAAUAUCCUACCAAUACACAUUGUAGGCGAGGCCACAAGGAUCUCAGGCGUCCAAAGAACAAAUCUGGUAAGUUUCGAAACGGGGUUAGGCUGAAGCUAAUGCAUACACAGCCAUGCAGAGAUAUCAGCAAUAACGGCAAUAUCACCA
Erpetoichthys calabaricus (reedfish) is the source of this 2098-nucleotide long non-coding RNA. RefSeq lists it as uncharacterized. The record is from RefSeq and is a predicted model, not a curated record. The transcript has 3 exons. Lineage: Eukaryota; Metazoa; Chordata; Cladistia; Polypteriformes; Polypteridae.